UAUCUGCAGUCGACGGUAAAUAUUUAGCAAUAGAUAUGAGAGUGACGUACGGGUGCGUAACACGUAUGCAACCUACCCUUUACAGGCGGAUAGCUCGGGGAAACUCGAAUUAACCCGCCGUAAUAUAAUUGGAUGGCAUCAUUUGAUUAUUAAAUCUACGGAGGUAAAGGAUGGGCAUGCGUCUGAUUAGUUAGUUGGCGGGGUAACGGCCCACCAAGACGAUGAUCAGUAGGGGAACUGAGAGGUUGAUCCCCCACACUGGCACUGAGAUACGGGCCAGACUCCUACGGGAGGCAGCAGUAGGGAAUAUUGGUCAAUGGAUGGAAGUCUGAACCAGCCAUGCCGCGUGCAGGAAGAAGGCCUUCUGGGUUGUAAACUGCUUUUGCCAGGGGAUAAAAUGACCUUGCGAGGUUAAUUGAAGGUACCUGGUGAAUAAGCCACGGCUAACUACGUGCCAGCAGCCGCGGUAAUACGUAGGUGGCAAGCGUUGUCCGGAUUUAUUGGGUUUAAAGGGUGCGUAGGCGGCUUAUUAAGUCAGUGGUGAAAUACUCUAGCUCAACUAGAGGGGUGCCAUUGAUACUGAUGAGCUUGAGUACAGAUGAGGUAGGCGGAAUUGACGGUGUAGCGGUGAAAUGCUUAGAUAUCGUCAAGAACACCUAUAGCGAAGGCAGCUUACUAGGCUGUAACUGACGCUGAGGCACGAAAGUGUGGGGAUCAAACAGGAUUAGAUACCCUGGUAGUCCACACUGUAAACGUUGAUUACUCGCUGUGUGCGAUAUACAGUACGCGGCCAAGCGAAAGCGAUAAAUAAUCCACCUGGGGAGUACGCCGGCAACGGUGAAACUCAAAAG
This 851-nucleotide ribosomal RNA is filed under the name uncultured bacterium. Its description in RNAcentral is "bacterial SSU rRNA". It matches the Rfam family "Bacterial small subunit ribosomal RNA", at positions 52 to 907 of the family's 1533-position model. The record is from RNAcentral.